RNAcentral lists this microRNA precursor (63 nucleotides) under Tetraodon nigroviridis (spotted green pufferfish). RNAcentral describes it as "Tni-Mir-129-P1b_pre stem-loop". It matches the Rfam family "mir-129 microRNA precursor family", at positions 7 to 72 of the family's 75-position model. From Rfam's summary of the family: The mature sequence is excised from the 5' arm of the hairpin. The record is from RNAcentral. Lineage: Eukaryota; Metazoa; Chordata; Actinopteri; Tetraodontiformes; Tetraodontidae.
CUUUUUGCGGUCUGGGCUUGCUGUGUAUACACGAGUGCGGGAAGCCCUUACCCCAAAAAGCAU